This is a long non-coding RNA of Phyllostomus discolor (pale spear-nosed bat), 253 nucleotides long. RefSeq lists it as uncharacterized. NCBI's taxonomy places the organism in Eukaryota, Metazoa, Chordata, Mammalia, Chiroptera, Phyllostomidae. The transcript has 2 exons. The record is from RefSeq and is a predicted model, not a curated record.
UCAUGUUUUAUAAAUUUGUAUAUAUAUUAUAAUUUCAAAGCCAAAAAAUAAAAAAGGCCCCUAGUCCCCCAGUGGCUUUGAAAAAUUAUUUAAUAGUACAGCAAUACCUUACUCAAGAAAGCUUAACAAAAUAUGAACCGGCAAGGAAUGAGGAAGUGAGCAAAAAUGACCUCAACAUAACAGAAAUAGAUGACAAAAAUAUGAGCAGAAAGGUGCUACAAGAGUCCAUCAAGGUUUCAAUAAUACUGCUUAU